Molecule: ribosomal RNA, 876 nt
Filed under: Triticum aestivum (bread wheat)
Lineage: Eukaryota; Viridiplantae; Streptophyta; Magnoliopsida; Poales; Poaceae
Description: partial small subunit ribosomal RNA
Source: RNAcentral
AUGUCCGGGAUGCAGGAGUUGUACCUUUCAUGGAAGAAUUUGACUAGAACAGUCCCAGAAGAGAUGGCGAAUAUUAGUUCGUUGAUUGAGCUGGAUGUGCCAUACAACCAUCUCAAAGGACACGUCCCACUUCGGGGUGUGUUUGCAAACAUGACCGGGUUUAACUUCACCGAGAAUGGCGAGCUCUGUGGUGGCGCGCCUCAAUUCCGUCUUCCACAAUGUCCAGUGGCAAGGUACGGAAGCCAUAGUAAUUGGCCUCUUCAUAUCAUGGCACCAAUCCUAGGCAUAGUUCUCAUCUCGGCCAUACUCCUCGCCAUUUACCUAUGCUACAAGAGAAACUCGAGACAAACAAAAGCCACGGCACCAGACAUACUUGAUGCUUCGAACUACCAGAGGGUCUCGUAUGCUGAAUUGGCGAAAGCCACAAACGGCUUUGCGGAUCCCAAUCUGAUAGGUGUAGGAAAGUUUGGUUCCGUGUACCUUGGAGCUCUACCGCUGAAUGACAACGGGACACUCGAGAGUGUUCCUGUGGCAGUGAAAGUGCUUGAUCUUCAAGACAUUCCUGUCGGAAUGCGAGGCAUUGCGAAUGUUCGAGGCUUCGAGCUCAAGCCCAAUUACAGGCUAGACAGGUGGUUGCAUCCAACACUUGAAGCGGUGAAGAACGUAGGCAGCCUAACCGCAUUCCAACGGCUCAACAUUGCCGUGGACAUCGCCGCCGUGCUGCAUUAUCUUCACAGCAACUGCGUACCCCCAAUCAUACACUGUGAUCUCAAGCCGGGCAACGUUCUUCUCAACAAGGACAUGAUGGCCUGCAUCGGUGACUUCGGUCUCGUGAAGCUGCUCCUUGAUCCGGGGAUCCAUGACACCAUGAAUUAA